This is a long non-coding RNA of Vicia villosa (hairy vetch), 4074 nucleotides long. RefSeq lists it as uncharacterized. The record is from RefSeq and is a predicted model, not a curated record. The transcript has 7 exons. NCBI's taxonomy places the organism in Eukaryota, Viridiplantae, Streptophyta, Magnoliopsida, Fabales, Fabaceae.
CCUCCUUCCAAAAGUCAUUUUCGAUGCAAGAGAGAGCACAAGUCUCUGAAACUUCUCUCUCCAUCACAACCUUGACUAUUCUCCAUUGAAAACCGUCCAACCUCUGCUUCCAUUCAGAGUCGGCCAACAAGAAUGUCCAGGGCUCCAAUACUCAUCAAGGAUCUGGUCCACGAAAGUCAAGUUAGGAAGAUGCUGAUAAGGGUUGUUGAUUUAUGGGUUGUUAAGGAAAAAACAGGACAUAGGGAUUGAUUAUGCACUUGCCAAUGGUGAAUCCCCGCCAAAAGCCAAUGAACUGUCUACCUUGAUGAAACAGAUGUAUCAAAGAAACACAGAUGAACUAUCACUGGCACUGUUAACUAAGGAUAAAUUGGUAAAUUUUUUCAUGAAAUGUAACCCACCAAGGAAUGCUCCAGCACUGUGCCUAAAAUUAUUUUGGAGCAUUUGUUUAAGUUAUCGAUUUCACGAAGUUUUCUCUCCAAAUCUGUUUGUUUUUUAAUUCUUGAUGAAUUUCAAUUCUCAUCACAAAUUAAAUUUUAGUCCUAUACCACUAUGCCAUAAAGAGUCCACUUGAGAUUUAUAUGAGCCAUGCUGUGUUUGUCUAGAAUCUGGAGUCAUGUAUCCCAACAUUACUUAAGCUAUGAAUUUAUUUCCUUUAUUUCACAGACUAUGUGGAUCUGAUUUUUCAUAUGCAGAGUUUACAUAUUUUAUAACCUCAUUAUUUAUUUGUCAUUAUCUAUAUGGCUUAUUUUCUUACCUUCAUAUUCAGCUGUUUUGAUUACUUAUGAAGACACUAAUUAGAUCAUAGCUUGCCUACAAUUGUUUUAGUCAAAACAUUGAGAUUCAUUUUGCUGCAUCCAAACUGUUUCAAAUUGCAAUUUCCUUUGUCAAAUAUGAAAGUCAGUAGAUAUCUUAAGAAAUUUGUUGGCUGGAUUUUCUUAUUUGUCACAAUUUGAAGCCAUUUAUGAAAUUAAUAUUAGUAGUACAAUCAAAGUCAAUAUAGUAAUAGAAUGAGGGAUUGUAUUACAAACAACAUACUACUCUUUGUAUCAUACAUAUUUUCUCUUCUCAAGUAUUCUUUCUAUAUAUUGUUUGUGUUUCAUGAAUUAGGGAGUUUUGUAAGAAACCAAAAACCCGUUGGAACACGCAUCUUCGCCUAACCUGUUCUUAGGAAUUCUAAAGUGACCAACAAUCAGCAUCACCUUUUAACAUAGUCCAGCAUUUUGGGAAACACUUGAGUAUAAUGUCACUUCAACCUUAAAUGCUAAGAAGACUUCCCCACGAUUUUCAGCUGAACAGCCGACUUACACUUUCAUGAGCAAGAGCAGACUGCUACUUUUUUAUUUCCCAGCACUCUCUUUCCACAAUUAUGCUUUUUAUUUACCUUAGUUACCUUAGUGAAUGGAUUACAUCUUGACUCAUCACACUAUCUAGAUGAAAGCAAUACAAUGCUGUCAACUAUGUAUUCCGAAUUGUUGAAGAGCUAAAUUGGACUUUUGUUAUAUUAUAUUUAUGCAGCACCACCCAUUUUUUAAUUAUUGUUAAUUAAAGUUUUAGUUUGCUGAACCUAUUAUAUAUAUACCUUUCUUUAUCCAACAGUUUUGACAGACAGGUUGAAAAGUAGGUUGUACAUUUUCCAUGAAUUGUCAAUUCUUUACAUAAAAUAAUGUUAAUUUCCUUAUGUAUGGUCCAAGUUAGCACACUGCGGUUUUUUAUUAGAAUUGCAGUCUCUUUCCACAAUUAUAAUUUAAUAUGAAUUGUUUGCUUCCACACCCAAAGCUAAAUGCUUGGUUUGUAAUCGUUAACUUCCUGAUUUUGAAUUUAUGCAGACUGUUUUAUUUGAACCUGGUAAUACCGAACUUGGCCUUGCUUUUGUUGCAGCAACUAAGGAGUAUACACUAAUAGUCACAAUGCCUGCCUCCGCAAAUAUUGAGAAGAGAAUUCUUUUACGCUCAUUUGGCGCAGAGGUUGUGUUGACGGACUUAGAUAAAGGGCUGAAAGGGGCUAUUGACAAAGCUAAAGAAAUUGCCAACGCCACACCUAACGCUUACAUGUUUCGACAGUUUGAUAACAACAAUAUGCAAAGGUUAAUUAUCAAUCCAUCUUAAAUGAGACCUUCACCUUUUAUUUACCAGUGUUUUAAAUUUUAUGGCCUGAGGAUAGAAGUUAGACAACACAUUAAUUAUGAAACUAUACAUUUUCUGAGUUUGUUGUAUGCUGUGAACAUGCAAGCUGGUUUUCUUUUGGAAUUUUUGUGACUUACAAGCAUUCUGGUUUUGAGGGUUUUAUAAGAGACAAGUGAACAAUACUUCUUGACACACACGAAAGGAUGCUGGCAACAUAAAUAAACUGCCCUGUGAAGGUAAUUUUCUUUUCUGACACUUUUCUUAGAAAAUUUUAAUUAACAAGAAGUACAAUCUAAGUUGGCUUCCCGUAAGCUAUGUAGACGAAUUAUAAGAUUAAAAUCAAACUCCUCAAUCUUUCAGAAGCUGAUUUUGUAUGUUUAAUUAUUGAUAAAUUUCAUAACAAUGUCUAGAAAUGUCAUCAUUCAAAAACUAUAAGAUGGAGGUUUGUACCACACCAUCCAGAAAAUGAAAUCACUUCACUUUUGUUUUUAUCUUUAACUUGGAAAAUUGAAUUCAUAUUCCUAAAUUGAAUGUGGCUGUAGGUAUUCAUAUGAAUCAGUAUAUAGUGUCCCUUUGAAGCCCUUUUAUUGUACUAACAAGCACCUGGAUAUGAAAAGAGUUAUGCUUGACACAAUUUUUGGACCUCCAAAAAGACAAACUUGAUGCAUAUGAUAUGCUAUAGUAAUGUUGUGACUGAGAAUUAUAUGUUAUGCUUCAGGUUUCCUUUUAUAGUUUCUAUUCAACUAAAGAAGCUAAAUAUUCAUUUUAUACCAGUUAACCUCUUCCAUUCUGUGUAUUCUCCAUAAGCAUGAGUUGAUUUUGAGUGGUUUCUAAAUUCCUAAUUACCAAUCCCUUUAUCUAAGAAAUCAAUCAAUAGUUUAGAAUUCAUUUAUUUUUUAUUUGUGUGCCCACAGUUUGUCCACAGCUUGCAAUUUAAUAAUAGUUCAGAAAUUGAUGCAAUUAGAAAAGUUGAAAACAGGGUUGAAGUUUCUAAGUAUUAUGAGAGGUAGCAAUCAUUAUUCAAUAGAAGCAAAGUUAUAUUGGUUGACAUGUUCGAAUAUUAUUAUACUUAUAUUUCUAUUAGGUUGAUUUUAAUUUGUGUUUUGGAUGAAUAAAAAUGAUGAUAGGGUCUUAAAAAAAAGCAACGUAGAGGAGCUUCCAAUAAUUAUAUAGCCAAUUAGCUUUCCAACUCACGGGUCACUAUCUGUAUAAUAUUUAUAUUAUUUCAAUAAUCAUCUAUAUUUAUUUUCACGGGUCACUAAUUGUAUAGAUAAAAUUAUUAUAUUCAAAUUGCAAAGUUUCCUUUUGUUGUUGGACCGUCAAUUAUUUAAUUCAAUACUUUGUCUUAUUUUUCUAUUGUGUUCUUGACUUAUUUUAAACUUUUUUUGUGGAAUAUUAUUUUAAUUUAGAACCUAAUUUUCAUACUAUUAAUAUCUUAUUAGUAAUUUUUUAAAUGGUUCAUUUCUGUUUUAUAUAUGCAAUUAGGUCAAAGUUCUUUACUUCACAUUUUUCAUAUCGUUUAAAAAAUACUACACCACAAAUAAUGCACCCGUGCGGCAGCACGGGUUUCUGGCUAGUUUAUGCUUUAAUGAAGAUGAAUCUUCACAUUAAAAGCAACAACAGUUAGUUGUUUGAAACUUUUCUUCAUUUCAUGCAUGUAAUAUUUUGGUUGUAGAGGGUUGAGAACCAAUUAAAUUAUUUUACUCGUGGUCUUCACUUGCAAUAUGAAGAGAAAUGGUUGAUAACUCUUUGGACAAAAAAGACAGACUCUACCAUGCUCAUUGUACAGGAUUCUUCAAACUCUUUUUCUGUUUUGAACAAACUAUAUCAAUUCGCAAGAUCAUGUAGUGAAAUAUUAACUAAUGGUUUCAAUUGAAUAUAUAGAUAUUGUCAUAAACAUUUAAGUGAUUAUCCUAACAUAUGUUGGUAUAAUUAAAGGGUGAAAACAACU